UCUCCUGCAGGUAUAAAUGCUCAGUAGGUAUCUCACAGCUGUCAUUGCUCAGGUCGUCUUCCUCUGAGGCGCUCGUCAGUGUCUCCCUUGAAGAACCUGUGAAAAGGAAGACUCGGGCGAGCAGGAGGUUCUGCACACGGCACGACGAGAUGCCGGAGACGUCUGACAAGAGGGUGGGACGAGGACAACACCAACCAAAAUGUGACAACAUCAAACAGCUGAAGGAGCUGUGCCCUCCUCCUCCCCCUCCCCCUCCUCCUCCUCCUCUUCCUCCUCCUCCUCCACCUCCUCAGACCAGGGAAGCGGCGUCAACGCCCGCCUCAGGAAGUCAGCGUUGGCACAGUAUGGAGGUCCUGAGACAGAAGCAGCAGAGGCCCUCGGUGCUGCGUCAAGUUUCCCAAACAGCUUCCAGACAUCGACACCCGCAUCCUGAAAGUAGCGCGGCUGUCUCUGUUUGCAAAGAAGAGGUGGAUGUCGGCCAUCUUUCCCAGUCGUCUUCACCGCACGCGGGUUUCUCUCCCGGACCGACCGAUCACUUCCUCCCCCUGAGGAGAGAUGAUUCGAAGCAGACUUCCAUGGAGGCCAGGCUCCACGAUGGCAUACCUGAGGGAAUCGGCGCUCUGUUUGUGAGUGGCCUCUGCCGCUGGCCCGGAUGUGAUGCCGUAUACGAGGAUUUGUCAAAUUUCUUAAAACACCUCCAUUCUGAACACGGACAUGGUGACAGGAGCAUCGCUCAGUGGAGGGUCCAGCAGGACAUCGUUCAGUACAUGGAGAGUCAGCUCAUUCUGGAAAAACAGAAACUCAUUGCGAUGCAGCUUCACCUCUCUGACCACAAAUACUCCGACCUGAAGGCAACUUCUGAGUGGCCGUGCAGCCUUCCUCUGUUCCUUCCCCAGCCUCAGGUAACGGAUGGAGGCCGGGUGCAACAGUGGGGCAUUAAACAUCUGGAGGAGUUCCCCCAUCAUAACUACAGAUCUGCCGGUUCUGCCCAUCUUCUACCAGAUUUGGUCACCAGUAUUACAUGUUACAAAUACAACAAUAUCAGGCCUCCGUACACCUAUGCAUACCUGAUAAGAUGGUCCAUCCUGGAGUCUCCAGACAAACAACGCACUCUGAAUGAGAUUUACAACUGGUUCACGACCAUGUUCUUCUACUUCAGACACAACACAGCUACCUGGAAGAAUGCAGUGCGCCACAACCUCAGUCUUCACAAGUGUUUUGUACGAGUGGAGGGUGGAAAGGGAGCCGUGUGGACAGUGGACGAAAGCGAGUACCAGAGAAGGAAGGGACAGAAGUAUCACAGGGACUGCACUGUGAAGUGGCUCACAUCCUAGACCCGUUACUAUCCUGAAGACGCCUGAACACCAGCAAAUAGCAGCACUGAGCCGCUCCUUCCACCCUAUAUCCUUUGUUACAUAAAGAUGAUUUACCAUACCUAGCAGCUGUUUUUGUACUUAUUAGUUUCAAAAGAAAUGUUGCAAAGUGAGAAAAGCUAAUUAAUGAGCUAACUCUGAUUGAGCCCGAUGUAUGAGUUUCUUCCUUCAGUCAGUAGGACCGGGAUAAAUAUCUGUUAAACAGGUUAUAUAAAGGAAUAUGUUAAUCAUCUUCAGCUGGUUUGUGGCCAUGAUGUCACAAUUUAAUGGAUUUUUUAUUUAUUUUUUUGUCAUUCUUUUAAGCAAAUAUGUUAAUUAAGCAAAUAUUCAUUGGUUGUUAUAAUGAAUCAUAUCUUGAGCGCAUGUGAUGUGGCUUAUCAUUUUCUACUACUAUUUGAAGUUAUAUUCCAAACCAUCGCUGUUCAGUUUUGUUUUGCUGUAAAGUUGUGAUAUUAUUUUUUUUCUGUUGUUUUGUAAAGUUGCAGGGUGUUUGCGUUGCCAAUUAUCUUCUUUUUCAAUCUUAAUAAAUUAAGUAAUUACACACUG
RNA transcript from Mugil cephalus (flathead mullet), 1919 nucleotides. It is a transcript of the gene named forkhead box P3b, with no coding region annotated. The record is from RefSeq and is a predicted model, not a curated record. NCBI's taxonomy places the organism in Eukaryota, Metazoa, Chordata, Actinopteri, Mugiliformes, Mugilidae. The transcript has 14 exons.